ACCUCCGGACUGGGGUUCGCAAGCUUCACGGCGAACGUACCUCGGGAAGUUGGUUAAACCUCACUAUUUAGAGGAAGGUGAAGUUGUAACAAGGUCUCCGUAGGUGAACCUGCAGAAGGAUC
RNAcentral lists this ribosomal RNA (122 nucleotides) under Aureococcus anophagefferens. RNAcentral describes it as "partial small subunit ribosomal RNA". It matches the Rfam family "Eukaryotic small subunit ribosomal RNA", at positions 1706 to 1827 of the family's 1831-position model. The record is from RNAcentral. Lineage: Eukaryota; Pelagophyceae; Pelagomonadales; Pelagomonadaceae.